GAUGAACGCUGGCGGCGUGCCUAAUACAUGCAAGUCGAGCGAACAGACGAGGAGCUUGCUCCUCUGACGUUAGCGGCGGACGGGUGAGUAACACGUGGAUAACCUACCUAUAAGACUGGGAUAACUUCGGGAAACCGGAGCUAAUACCGGAUAAUAUAUUGAACCGCAUGGUUCAAUAGUGAAAGACGGUUUUGCUGCCACUUAUAGAUGGAUCCGCGCCGCAUUAGCUAGUUGGUAAGGUAACGGCUUACCAAGGCGACCAUGCGUAGCCGACCUGAGAGGGUGAUCGGCCACACUGGAACUGAGACACGGUCCAGACUCCUACGGGAGGCAGCAGUAGGGAAUCUUCCGCAAUGGGCGAAAGCCUGACGGAGCAACGCCGCGUGAGUGAUGAAGGUCUUCGGAUCGUAAAACUCUGUUAUUAGGGAAGAACAAAUGUGUAAGUAACUAUGCACGUCUUGACGGUACCUAAUCAGAAAGCCACGGCUAACUACGUG
This 497-nucleotide ribosomal RNA is filed under the name uncultured bacterium. RNAcentral describes it as "partial 16S ribosomal RNA". It matches the Rfam family "Bacterial small subunit ribosomal RNA", at positions 28 to 507 of the family's 1533-position model. The record is from RNAcentral.